RNAcentral lists this ribosomal RNA (230 nucleotides) under uncultured bacterium. RNAcentral's name for it is "partial 16S ribosomal RNA". It matches the Rfam family "Bacterial small subunit ribosomal RNA", at positions 561 to 787 of the family's 1533-position model. The record is from RNAcentral.
UUUAAGGGUAGGCGUAGGCGGCCUGUUAAGUCAGGGGUGAAAGACGGUAGCUCAACUAUCGCAGUGCCCUUGAUACUGAUGGGCUUGAAUUGACUAGAGGUAGGCGGAAUGUGACAAGUAGCGGUGAAAUGCAUAGAUAUGUCACAGAACACCGAUUGCGAAGGCAGCUUACUAUGGUCUUAUUGACGCUGAGGCACGAAAGCGUGGGGAUCAAACAGGAUUAGAUACGU